Molecule: long non-coding RNA, 225 nt
Organism: Solanum stenotomum
Lineage: Eukaryota; Viridiplantae; Streptophyta; Magnoliopsida; Solanales; Solanaceae
Exons: 3
Source: RefSeq, a predicted model, not a curated record
GAAUCCUGUUGCUAUAGUUGUAGCUCUAAUCCAUAUAAAUAAUCAAUUACAUCAAUAUGAGGCAACGAUUGGAAUAUUAACAUAUGCUCAGCAGCAUUUGGGGGUUCAGUUGAAGGAGUCAUGGUAUGAGAAGUUGCAACUCUGGGAUAGUGAAUGCAUGUUUUGGACUAGUUAGGCUGCUAAUGCUUCCUGGAACAUGGGUGAGUGGGAUCAGAUGGCAGAAUA